GCCGGAUUAGCUCAGUUGGUAGAGCAGCGCACUUGUAAUGCGAAGGUCGCCAGUUCGAUUCCGGCAUCCGGCACCA
Molecule: transfer RNA, 76 nt
Filed under: Methylobacillus sp.
Lineage: Bacteria; Pseudomonadati; Pseudomonadota; Betaproteobacteria; Nitrosomonadales; Methylophilaceae
Also listed under: 3 other names
Description: tRNA-Thr
Rfam family: tRNA
About the family: Transfer RNA (tRNA) molecules are approximately 80 nucleotides in length. Their secondary structure includes four short double-helical elements and three loops (D, anti-codon, and T loops).
Source: RNAcentral